This 24-nucleotide non-coding RNA is filed under the name Arabidopsis thaliana (thale cress). The record is from RNAcentral. Lineage: Eukaryota; Viridiplantae; Streptophyta; Magnoliopsida; Brassicales; Brassicaceae.
AAUUUCAGAGGCAAAUUUUAGUUC